Molecule: transfer RNA, 73 nt
Filed under: Deltaproteobacteria bacterium
Lineage: Bacteria; Pseudomonadati; Myxococcota; Myxococcia
Description: tRNA-Arg
Rfam family: tRNA
About the family: Transfer RNA (tRNA) molecules are approximately 80 nucleotides in length. Their secondary structure includes four short double-helical elements and three loops (D, anti-codon, and T loops).
Source: RNAcentral
GCUCCUGUAGUUCAACGGGAUAAAACGGGGCUUUCCUAAAGCUCAGUUCCAGGUUCGAGUCCUGGCAGGAGCA